Long non-coding RNA from Solanum tuberosum (potato), 504 nucleotides. RefSeq lists it as uncharacterized. The record is from RefSeq and is a predicted model, not a curated record. The transcript has 3 exons. NCBI's taxonomy places the organism in Eukaryota, Viridiplantae, Streptophyta, Magnoliopsida, Solanales, Solanaceae.
UUAUUAGAAGCUAAAAAAGGAACAACCAGAUCAUAAAAUGAUCUGGUCCAAAAACAAAAUACUCUGUCCAAAAACAAAAUACAAAAAUGAAACAACCAAAAUAAAGGAAAAAGGAGUUGGUCAUCUUCAAGCUUGAGCUUCCAUGGAGGAUGAAGACGAAGUGCUGCCUUGGAGAAGCUGCGUUCGGUUCGUUUCCAUCCCAUUGAAUCCACACAGCUCGAACAACUUAGAUUGAGUCAGAAACCCUAACUAAUACCACUGCAUAGGCUAGGUUGAGCCCCAAAGAGACUGAUACCACUGCAUAAGGAAGCCACAUAUGAGUUCCAUCUCCGCAUAAACAAUAUAUUGCAAUUACAUCCACUUAUGCAAGUAUGCACGUACUACCAUCGCCUUUUGAUAUUUUUUUGUCAUCCUCUUGUUGUUGUUGUUUGUCUCAAUUAUGCUUGUGUAUUGAAAUCCCUGUUUUGGAUGUUUCUAAUUCUAAGAUUGGGAGUUUGUGUUUUA